This 1341-nucleotide ribosomal RNA is filed under the name metagenome. Its description in RNAcentral is "bacterial LSU rRNA". It matches the Rfam family "Bacterial large subunit ribosomal RNA", at positions 1609 to 2925 of the family's 2925-position model. The record is from RNAcentral.
CGGGAAAAGCUGCUAGGGAGGCUUUUUUGCGCCCGUACCCGAGACCGACACAGGUGGGCUGGCUUAAGAGGCUAAGGUGAGCGGGAUAACUCUCGUUAAGGAACUCUGCAAGUUGACCCCGUAACUUCGGGAGAAGGGGUGCCUCUCUGGUGAAGACAAUGCUGUUGGAGCUGAGAGAGGUCGCAGAAACCAGGCUCAGGCGACUGUUUACUAAAAACACAGGUCUCUGCAUAAGGCGCAAGCCGAAGUAUAGGGACUGACACCUGCCCGGUGCUGGAAGGUUAAAUGGAGAGGUUAGUGCAGUGAUGUGCGAAGCUUUGAAAUGAAGCCCCAGUAAACGGCGGCCGUAACAAUAACGGUCCUAAGGUAGCGAAAUUCCUUGUCGGGUAAGUUCCGACCUGCACGAAUGGUGUAACGAUCUGAGCGCUGUCUCGACGGGAGACCCGGUGAAAUUGUGGUCCUGGUAAAGACACCAGGUACCUGUGGUGGGACGGAAAGACACCAUGGAGCUUUACUGUAGCCUGGUACUGGAUUUUGUCCUAUCAUGCACAGGAUAGGUGGGAGGCGUAGAAGCAUGUGCUUUGGCAUAUGCGGAGCCGAUGUUGGGAUACCACCCUUGAUAUGACGGAAUUCUAACCCCUAGCGUCUGAAUCGACGGGGGGGACACCGCCAGGUGGGCAGUUUGACUGGGGCGGUCGCCUCCCAAAGAGUAACGGAGGCGCGCGAAGGUCACCUCAGGGCGAAUGGAAACCGCCCAUAGAGAGCGCAAGCGUAUAAGGUGGCCUGACUGAGAGACCGACGGGUCGAUCAGGGACGAAAGUCGGUGCUAGUGAUCCGGCGGUUCCGAAUGGAAGGGCCGUCGCUCAACGGAUAAAAGCUACCCUGGGGAUAACAGGCUGAUCUUGCCCGAGAGUUCCUAUCGACGGCAAGGUUUGGCACCUCGAUGUCGGCUCGCCGCAUCCUGGGGCUGAAGCAGGUCCCAAGGGUUGGUCUGUUCGCCCAUUAAAGCGGUACGUGAGCUGGGUUUAGAACGUCGUGAGACAGUUCGGUCCCUAUCCACCACGGGCGCAGGGUAUUUGAGGAGAUCUGCUUCUAGUACGAGAGGACCGAAGUGGACGAACCGCUGGUGUACCGGUUGUGACGCCAGUUGCAUACGCCGGGUAGCUAUGUUCGGCACGGAUAACCGCUGAAGGCAUCUAAGCGGGAAGCCGCCUUCAAGAUGAGAUACCCCAUUCCUUAAAGGAAGUAAGGCGUCCUGUAGAAUACGGGAUAUAUAGGCCGGAGGUGUACGCGUUGCGAGACGUUGAGCUGACCGGUACUAAUACGCCGAGGCCUUUUCCU